RNAcentral lists this ribosomal RNA (433 nucleotides) under uncultured bacterium. RNAcentral describes it as "bacterial SSU rRNA". It matches the Rfam family "Bacterial small subunit ribosomal RNA", at positions 917 to 1349 of the family's 1533-position model. The record is from RNAcentral.
GGACCCGCACAAGCGGUGGAGCAUGUGGUUUAAUUCGAUGCAACGCGAAGAACCUUACCUGGUCUUGACAUCCUGCGAACUUUCUAGAAAUAGAUUGGUGCCUUCGGGAACGCAGUGACAGGUGCUGCAUGGCUGUCGUCAGCUCGUGUCGUGAGAUGUUGGGUUAAGUCCCGUAACGAGCGCAACCCCUAUCCUUAUUUGCCAGCACAUCAUGGUGGGAACUAUAAGGAGACUGCCGGUGAUAAACCGGAGGAAGGCGGGGACGACGUCAAGUCAUCAUGGCCCUUACGACCAGGGCUACACACGUGCUACAAUGGGAAGGACAAAGAGCCGCGAAGCCGCGAGGUGUAGCUAAUCUCAUAAACCUUUUCGUAGUCCGGAUUGGAGUCUGCAACUCGACUCCAUGAAGUCGGAAUCGCUAGUAAUCGUAGAU